Molecule: long non-coding RNA, 322 nt
Filed under: Brachypodium distachyon (stiff brome)
Lineage: Eukaryota; Viridiplantae; Streptophyta; Magnoliopsida; Poales; Poaceae
Description: long non-coding RNA (BDIS_LNC002004)
Source: RNAcentral
AGCUGCACACUGCACACACACACAUAUCUCUCGCAGAUCUCGACCACGCGCGCCCACAUGACUCGACGGAGGCAAGCGUUGCAACACUCAUAACUGAAUCAAUGAGUCAUGUAGGCGAUUAUUUUUUGCUUUCACAAUCUGAAACUCACUGGAUAUAGCCAAAUAUGUUUUAGCCAUAGCAAGGCGAACCGUCGUAUCCCGAUUGACCAUAUCGGACACCGAUACGAGGCCUUCAGGUUGUAGCCGUGAAACCAAGCGCAAAGUACACAAAUCCACAUUUCCAAUCUAUGAACCAAUUAAAAAAGAUGUCAUACACGUCAAC